Molecule: ribosomal RNA, 253 nt
Filed under: uncultured bacterium
Lineage: Bacteria
Description: partial 16S ribosomal RNA
Rfam family: Bacterial small subunit ribosomal RNA
Source: RNAcentral
GACGGGGGGGGCAAGUGUUCUUCGGAAUUACUGGGCGUAAAGCGCACGUAGGCGGCUUUGUAAGUUAGAGGUGAAAGCCUGAAGCUCAACUUCAGAAUUGCCUUUAAGACUGCAUCGCUUGAAUCCAGGAGAGGUGAGUGGAAUUCCGAGUGUAGAGGUGAAAUUCGUAGAUAUUCGGAAGAACACCAGUGGCGAAGGCGGCUCACUGGACUGGUAUUGACGCUGAGGUGCGAAAGCGUGGGGAGCAAACAGG